This 253-nucleotide ribosomal RNA is filed under the name uncultured bacterium. RNAcentral describes it as "partial 16S ribosomal RNA". It matches the Rfam family "Bacterial small subunit ribosomal RNA", at positions 524 to 776 of the family's 1533-position model. The record is from RNAcentral.
UACGUAGGUGGCAAGCGUUGUCCGGAUUUACUGGGUGUAAAGGGCGUGUAGCCGGGCUGACAAGUCAGAUGUGAAAUUCCGGGGCUCAACCCCGGACCUGCAUUUGAAACUGUUGGUCUUGAGUAUCGGAGAGGCAGGCGGAAUUCCUAGUGUAGCGGUGAAAUGCGUAGAUAUUAGGAGGAACACCAGUGGCGAAGGCGGCCUGCUGGACGACAACUGACGGUGAGGCGCAAAAGCGUGGGGAGCAAACAGG